This 250-nucleotide ribosomal RNA is filed under the name uncultured bacterium. RNAcentral's name for it is "partial 16S ribosomal RNA". It matches the Rfam family "Bacterial small subunit ribosomal RNA", at positions 524 to 773 of the family's 1533-position model. The record is from RNAcentral.
UACGGAGGGUCCAAGCGUUAUCCGGAUUUAUUGGGUUUAAAGGGUCCGCAGGCGGAAAAAUAAGUCAGUGGUGAAAUCCUAUCGCUUAACGAUAGAACUGCCAUUGAUACUGUUUUUCUUGAGUAUACUUGAAGUGGGCGGAAUGUGUCAUGUAGCGGUGAAAUGCAUAGAUAUGACACAGAACACCGAUUGCGAAGGCAGCUCACUAAAUUAUAACUGACGCUCAUGGACGAAAGCGUGGGGAGCAAAC